RNAcentral lists this ribosomal RNA (254 nucleotides) under uncultured bacterium. Its description in RNAcentral is "partial 16S ribosomal RNA". It matches the Rfam family "Bacterial small subunit ribosomal RNA", at positions 524 to 776 of the family's 1533-position model. The record is from RNAcentral.
GACGUAGGAUGCGAGCGUUAAUCGGAAUUACUGGGCGUAAAGCGUGCGUAGACGGUCAUGUAAGUCGGGUGUGAAACCUCCAGGCUCAACCUGGAGACGCCACCUGAUACUGCUGUGGCUAGAGUCCGGUAGGGGAGCGUGGAAUUCCUGGUGUAGCGGUGAAAUGCGCAGAUAUCAGGAGGAACACCGGUGGCGAAGGCGGGUCUCUGGGCCGAUACUGACGCUGAGGAGCGAAAGCGUGGGGAGCGAACAGG